UUUGGCCUUACAUGAACCUAAUGGCCACGUGCUUUUUGGUGCUACUGCUACCUCAUUUUAAAGGUGCUUCUUAUGUUCAUGAGUGCCAGCUUCGCCCGUGUUUGUCUGUGGAUCCGCGAGGUGCUACCAAAUACUUCAUUAAACCCAAGGAGGAAAAAUCUCAUUGUGCCCAAGUCUUUCUAUCUCUGGCAUAGAGGUAUGUUGAAGAGAACGGAUCUGAAGCUCUGGAGAAACUCCUUGAUCGAAAGUCCAAGCAUAUAAAGCCUGACAUUGGCAUGGAAGAGAUCAAGGCAAUGACUAAUACAGAGGAGAAAGAAACAGCUGCAUCAAUCAGGUCCAAAUACAAAGAACCUAAUGUUGGCAAGGUAGAUGCUAGAGCAAUGGAACAACCAGAGAAAAGACCAGUCGCUG
Rhododendron vialii is the source of this 411-nucleotide long non-coding RNA. RefSeq lists it as uncharacterized. The transcript is spliced from 3 exons. The record is from RefSeq and is a predicted model, not a curated record. Lineage: Eukaryota; Viridiplantae; Streptophyta; Magnoliopsida; Ericales; Ericaceae.